This 205-nucleotide unclassified non-coding RNA is filed under the name Hevea brasiliensis (rubber tree). The record is from RNAcentral. Lineage: Eukaryota; Viridiplantae; Streptophyta; Magnoliopsida; Malpighiales; Euphorbiaceae.
AAAAAAAAAAUGGGAAACGAAUGAGAAUUUUAAUUUUUUAGGGUCAAAAGACGAGGGAAAUUAGACAAAAAUAAAUAAAAUUUUGAUAUGGUAGGCACGCGAUUCUGAUUUCCUGGAGGGAAGAGGUCAAAGGUCAGACAAAGGAACGGUCAGACGAUGGCAGCUGGAUUUCAGUUCUCAUUUUUUAUUGGGCAUUUAUGAGUAG